Molecule: long non-coding RNA, 3326 nt
Organism: Felis catus (domestic cat)
Lineage: Eukaryota; Metazoa; Chordata; Mammalia; Carnivora; Felidae
Exons: 8
Source: RefSeq, a predicted model, not a curated record
CCUACUUAGACACACACUAUCAUUUAUCCUUCACAACACACCUGAAAAUUGGCUUCUUAGAAUCUCUCUGGAUUCCAAGUCUGCUGCCUACUGUAAUAUUCACUACUUUACUGCCCUCUUGGCCUUGUCUAAUAAGUGGUUGUGAACUACCACUUUGACUUUAGCUUUGACCUUAUCUUUUGGUGUAGAAAAUGCUUCCUUUGUGGAAGGCUUCAUUAGUUCCAGGCUCCACCUUAUGAUCUGAAUUUUACUGGGGCUGACCCACUCACUUGCCUACCUUUUAUUGUCUGCCCCAGCCUUGCCUAGGUUUUUUUUUGAGCCUGGUUUUCUUCUUCUUUUAUUUAUAAACUGUUGUUCUUUUUAUAAACUAUUGUUUCAGUUUACCUAACGGUACAAGUGAUCAGACAGUCAUUUCAAUUGUGGAGAAUAGAUCUGAAAAUGGCACAGGAAGUUGGAAGAUUAUCGGAAAUGUAAAGUAAGGAAACGGGGUGGAGGUAGAUUCUGAGUAAAGCCUUAAAGGAUGAGGUGGCUCCGAGGUAGAAUGACACCUUUGUGAUGUCACGAGUGAAAGCAGCUAAACAUUCCGGUGACUCAUGGAAAACAGUGCUGGGCGAGGUGGAAGGACUCAGCAGGAUGCAUUUAGCUGCCCUGGGUCUGAACCUUCCUUCUUAUCUCCAGAUACCUGUGUGUUUUUCCUGCUUCUAAUUUUGAGUACCUCCCAGGAUGACAGAUUUGAAUUUCUUUGUUAACAGGCUUUUGGUGUAUUGAGAGUGAUUACCAUUUAAUUAGCUAAUUAGCUGAUUAGCUUUUAAUGAGCAGCUUUUAAUAUACAAGUCUGUUCUUUAGAUGAUAGCCUGCAUCCAUCUUUUGCUCAUAAAAUACUUAAUAUUGACCCUGUGUCCCUCUGGGGUUCAUUUUUGUUUAGUCCUAAGUAGGAGUUAGAUAGGUAACAAGGAUGGGGAAGAAGACAAUCUUUCAGUAGAGAAAUCAAAGACAAUUCAGUACUAACCUUUAAGGGAUGUGAAGUCUUGUUGGAUAAAGUGAAAAACUGACAAAAUAAAAUCUAUAGAUGUACAAGACCAAAAAUGUAAGAGAACCACGCUUCAGUCUUCGUCUUGAGCCCUGUCUUUGGAAGGUCUGAUUCAGUCACGAGUGGGACUGAGAAAUCCAUUUAUUGCCAAUCUGCUCAGGCUUCUAAACUUGUUGAGAAAUAAGAAAACUGAGAGAAGUAGAGGGUAAGUAUCACCUUGAUUGUAAGAAGAAGCCACCUUGGAAGAUGUGGCUGUAAGUCUUCUCCACCAAUCAUGACAAUGCUGAACUGGGACAGGCCUCCCAGUUUGGCUGGCAUCAACAAAAACACAGAGGAUUUACUUUCCAGGAAUUUUUCAUGUGCCUCCUCCUGGCACAGGAGCCUGUCCCAAACUGGACCCAUGGGAAAAACGAUGUUCAUUAAAAGGAAGAUGGGAGCAGACCCUGACCCAAUGGGACAAAGAAUGCUACUAUUAAUUUCAGCAAAGGAAAUACACAUUUCCCACAUGCUAAUUCAAGUAUACAGACAUCUGAACUCAACCAUGGAAGCUGGUGGCAGACUGUUCAACCUUUGGGGUGAUGAUCUAUAGGACAUUGUUUGUAGGCUGAUUUGAUAAAUGUUGCAUGCAUUGAAAGGGAGCUGCCCACUUUGGAAAAACCUAACUCGCAUAAAGAAGGAUGGAAAAAAGAAUGUCCAAGGAGGAGGAAGGGUGAGAAAGUGGCACAUUCCCUAUCAGUGCACCAGAAGCUGUGUUCAGAAACAACUAUAAUACAAGAAAGAAAAUAGUGCUUCAGAAGAAGAGGGCGCCAUAACUUAGGGUAGUUCAAAAGAAGAUGAAAUUAGCUACACACUGCUUUGGUAUUUCAUGUCCAUUAACUUCUCCACCUUGCAACCAGGAAUAAUUGCCAAUUGAUUAUUUCAGGUGAAAAAGAUGUACAGUUGGAACCUGCUUAAAAGAGAUUUUGUUUAUCUAGCAUCUUCUGAGUAAUUCUGGACCUCAAACACCUUUAACUGUUUCUAGGCAUUGAAAUGCAGAUAUUUGCUUGCCUUCUUUCAGAAGCCAACUUCCUCUGCUGGGUGGUGGAGGAGGGGCCAAGAAGACAUUCAGUCUAGCGGUCUCUCUUAAGUACUCUGUAAGAUCAUGCAUAUCUUCCUAGAUGCUUCUAGUAGCCUUCUCAGGUUACCACCCAGGCUGGGAAAAUUGUCAACAUUUAUUCCAUUGCACAUAUGAAACUAUUUCAAAUGCAAUUAUAAGGUAGGAUAGGAAAUAUUUAAAAACUUGAUAAAUAGGACUUUUCCCCAGAGUACCAGAAAGACGGUACUUAAGUAAUUUAGGCCCUUCCCAAGAUGGUCUUGUGAGUUUCACAAGUCCUAGGUGAUCCUACUUCCCUAAGAUUCUUACCCUCUCUCUAGCAUGUUUUUCAGUUCUCUGUGAUAAUACCCAUCCACUUCUCUCAUUAAGUGCCAUCCCACUCUCAAUGUCCAACUCCUUCUCUCUGCAUUUGUUCAGUCUGAGGUCUUCAUCUGUACAAAAGCUUCUAGAGUCCUUGGGAUGAUCAGAGACACAGUUGAAACCUAAGCCCUUUUGCUGUCUUUGGUUUUCCUACUCUUUGGACAAUUGAACUGAUGUGAAUGGCAGACAUGUUUAUUAAACUGUAACAUGCUAAGAGCAAACAAAUGCACUUCUCUCAAAGACAAAUAUGAACUUUCAGGAACAGCAGAGUCCAAAAAAUACUGAGAAAUGAAAUGUUUCUUUAAUAAACAAGUUUCCUUUCCUUUCCGGUGGAGCCAGUGUGUCUAUUUAUUGAGUUACCAACAAUACCAAAACUUAAAAGCUUACACAAGCAACUGUUUGUUUAGCUUAUGAUUCUCUGUGUUGGUGAUUUGAACUGGGGUUAUAUGAUCACUUUGCUCCUGAUUGUAGCUGCUUGUGUCCUACUCUUGUGUCUGUUGUCAGAUGGUAACUCAACUGGGGCUCAGUUUAUCACGGCCUCUUUAACAUAUCAGGUGGUUGGUUCAUUAUUAGCUGGAACGACAGGACUGCUUGGGCUACAUGUCUCUUAUCAUUUAGAACAUCUACUCACAUCACUCAUUAUACCUGCACACGUCAUCCACAACCCUGCACACAUCAUCCACAUCCCUGCUUGCAUCAUCCACAUACACAUCUGCUCAUGUUACUGACACACCUGCUCACAUCAUGCAGCAUACCUGCUCAUAUCAUUUAAUAGACUCAAUAGGGCUUAUGCACGGGUAAGCAGAAAAGUUCCCAGAUAAACAAGAAGUCCAAAUCCCAAAG